CCCCCCCGCCGGUAGCCAUCUUCGUGCAUAGGCAAACUUAUUGUAGCUAGACUGUACAAAGUAUAUCAAGAUAUGCCAAAUAUUGAGCUUAACUUCACCUGUUUGAGAGACGGUGUUUCUUUUAGCUUGCAACACCAUGAAAAAAUUACUGAGACACUAGGAAUGCUGUGAACUGAGAAAGUUUGGGACCUUUGGCAUAACUAAAUCCUUCAUUUAACAGAUGGAGUCUCAGUCUGUCACUAAGGCUGGAGUGCAGUGGCGCGAUCUCGGCUCACUGCAACCUCCACCUCCCGGGUUCACGCGAUUCUCCAGCCUCAGCCUUCCACGUAGCUGGGACUACAGGUGCAUGCCACCACACCCAGUGUUGUGAACCACUUGUCAUGGGAUAACCAAAAUUAAACCUGGAAUCGCAGAAGAAACAAAUUUUUUGAAGAAAUUGGAUGUACUUUUUUAAAAUUUUUCAUUCAACUAAAACUUUGUUAACUGUUUCUUGGUUGUGGUCUUCUCUAAAUUGUAAUCUUUGGCAUUCACUUCCAAAGUAUCCACCACUAAACUUCAUAACAUUUAUUGUGUCUCUUCAUCAUUAAACUUUGAUGAAUUUA
Long non-coding RNA from Homo sapiens (human), 602 nucleotides. Lineage: Eukaryota; Metazoa; Chordata; Mammalia; Primates; Hominidae. The record is from Ensembl.